Molecule: ribosomal RNA, 239 nt
Filed under: uncultured bacterium
Lineage: Bacteria
Description: partial 16S ribosomal RNA
Rfam family: Bacterial small subunit ribosomal RNA
Source: RNAcentral
AGCGGCGGACGGGUGAGUAACGCGUGGGUAACCUGCUCAUACAGGGGGAUAACAGUUAGAAAUGACUGCUAAUACCGCAUAAGACCACGGUACCGCAUGGUACAGUGAUAAAAACUCCGGUGGUAUGAGAUGGACCCGCGUCUGAUUAGGUAGUUGGUGGGGUAACGGCCUACCAAGCCGACGAUCAGUAGCCGACCUGAGAGGGUGACCGGCCACAUUGGGACUGAGACACGGCCCAG